Herpailurus yagouaroundi (jaguarundi) is the source of this 486-nucleotide long non-coding RNA. RefSeq lists it as uncharacterized. Lineage: Eukaryota; Metazoa; Chordata; Mammalia; Carnivora; Felidae. The transcript has 3 exons. The record is from RefSeq and is a predicted model, not a curated record.
UCCCGAAGCGGUAGCUGCGAGCCUUGCGAAAGCGUUUGGCGGUAGCUCAAUUUCAAGGCCUUUUAAAAUGAGACCUGUAUCCGUUCAAAAGGCUUCAGAGAGGGAAGCUAGAAAGUCACGGAGUAUGAAAAUGGGGAAGCCCCCUUCAAGAAUAUCUCCAUGAAACUCCGCUGAUGCUUCAGGACUAUGGCGCUUUAUGGUUCCUUUGCUUGGAAAACCCAUUCCUUAGAAACUCACGUAGACUCAGUUCCUUAUCUUUCAAUGCUGCCUCCUCAAGGAAGCAUUCCCCUGGACCUCCAAUAUAAGAGAGGAGUUCCAUUUCUUCUUUGUCCUCCUCCUGCUGUAUUUCUCUCCAGAACACAACACUGUACCACUGUUCUUCACCCUAAGAACAGACGAGGACAUCAAGACUCAGAGAAGCCUGUAAGUUGUCUCAAAUCACACUUGCUACUAAAUGGUAAGCAACAGAACCUGUCUGGAAAGAGG